This 461-nucleotide long non-coding RNA is filed under the name Anas platyrhynchos platyrhynchos (common mallard). RNAcentral describes it as "lncRNA (ENSAPLG00000021813.1)". Lineage: Eukaryota; Metazoa; Chordata; Aves; Anseriformes; Anatidae. The record is from RNAcentral.
GUGUGGAAUUGCAAGCAGAAGCUUCGGCAGCAGGGGCUCCAGGAAGGACGUGGAAGCACUGUUGAACAGGGCAGCGCAUCCCACAUAAGCUGGAGCUGAGGCUGACAUUUAUUAGUUUAAAUGGGGAGCUCACACUUGUGCAUCUUUGCCUCUGCUUUCAUGCUUUCACAUUCUCAAUGAGAUGAAGAGCAGAAGACAUCUGCGGUAGCUGAAUAUAGACAAAAAUUGCUCAGCUAUGGACCCAGGAGAAACGCUGGAAUGUGACACGAUGUGAUUUUGCAGUAUGAAGCUAGCUCCCUUCCCUAGACAAGCAGAACUCUCAGUCUUCAGUGCACCUUUCUGUCAAGGCUCCAGCACUCACAUACGGAGUAUAUGAAUGAGAUUUGGAAAGAACCAGCUGGCGGUGUGGACAUUUUCUCCCUCAAUAUUCUCUUUGAUGUGAGACUCUGAUGACAUAUUUU